This 424-nucleotide ribosomal RNA is filed under the name uncultured bacterium. RNAcentral describes it as "bacterial SSU rRNA". It matches the Rfam family "Bacterial small subunit ribosomal RNA", at positions 359 to 775 of the family's 1533-position model. The record is from RNAcentral.
GAAUAUUGGACAAUGGGCGAAAGCCUGAUCCAGCCAUGCCGCGUGUGUGAAGAAGGUCUUCGGAUUGUAAAGCACUUUAAGUUGGGAGGAAGGGUAGUAACUUAAUACGUUGCUACUUUGACGUUACCGACAGAAUAAGCACCGGCUAACUUCGUGCCAGCCGCCGCGGUAAUACGAAGGGUGGAAGCGUGAAUCGGAAUUACUGGGCGUAAAGCGCGCGUAGGUGGUUCAGUAAGUUGGAUGGGAAAUCCCCGGGCUCAACCUGGGAACUGCAUCCAAAACUGCUGAGCUAGAGUACGGUAGAGGGUAGUGGAAUUUCCUGUGUAGCGGUGAAAUGCGUAGAUAUAGGAAGGAACACCAGUGGCGAAGGCGACUACCUGGACUGAUACUGACACUGAGGUGCGAAAGCGUGGGGAGCAAACAG